GCCCUGGUAGCUCAAUUGGUUAGAGCGUCGGACUUUUAUCGGUCUGUACUGAGAGCACAUCCGAAGGCUGCGGGUUCGACCCCCGCCUGGGGCG
Molecule: transfer RNA, 94 nt
Filed under: Nemania serpens
Lineage: Eukaryota; Fungi; Ascomycota; Sordariomycetes; Xylariales; Xylariaceae
Description: tRNA-Lys
Rfam family: tRNA
About the family: Transfer RNA (tRNA) molecules are approximately 80 nucleotides in length. Their secondary structure includes four short double-helical elements and three loops (D, anti-codon, and T loops).
Source: RNAcentral